Molecule: ribosomal RNA, 253 nt
Filed under: uncultured bacterium
Lineage: Bacteria
Description: partial 16S ribosomal RNA
Rfam family: Bacterial small subunit ribosomal RNA
Source: RNAcentral
UACGGGGGGUGCGAGCGUUGUCCGGAAUCACUGGGCGUAAAGGGCGCGUAGGUGGCGUGAUAAGGGUGUGGUGAAAGCCCGGGGCUCAACCCCGGGUCUGCCAUGCCGACUGUCAGGCUAGAGUACUGUAGGGGCAGGCGGAAUUCCGGGUGUAGCGGUGGAGUGCGUAGAUAUCGCUUGGAACGCCGAAGGUGAAAACAGGCUGCUGGGGUUGCGCCGACGCUGAGACACGAAAGCCAGGGGAGCAAACGGG